Molecule: transfer RNA, 72 nt
Filed under: Thermodesulfobium narugense DSM 14796
Lineage: Bacteria; Pseudomonadati; Thermodesulfobiota; Thermodesulfobiia; Thermodesulfobiales; Thermodesulfobiaceae
Also listed under: 1 other name
Rfam family: tRNA
About the family: Transfer RNA (tRNA) molecules are approximately 80 nucleotides in length. Their secondary structure includes four short double-helical elements and three loops (D, anti-codon, and T loops). Further hydrogen bonds mediate the characteristic L-shaped molecular structure. tRNAs have two regions of fundamental functional importance: the anti-codon, which is responsible for specific mRNA codon recognition, and the 3' end, to which the tRNAs corresponding amino acid is attached (by aminoacyl-tRNA synthetases). tRNAs cope with the degeneracy of the genetic code in two manners: having more than one tRNA (with a specific anti-codon) for a particular amino acid; and 'wobble' base-pairing, i.e. permitting non-standard base-pairing at the 3rd anti-codon position.
Source: Rfam by way of RNAcentral
CGGGGCGUAGCGCAGGGGUAGCGCACUCCUUUGGGGUGGGAGAGGUCGGUGGUUCAAGUCCACUCGCCCCGA